UGUUGUUACAAAGAGAAUUUCGCCAUGCUGAAGCGUAAAGAUGACAAAUCUACUGCAGUUGUCAUUGGAAACCCCGCUCCGCAGAUUUUGAGGUUGUAAGAAGCAGUCUCAUGGCUGGAAUACUGAAAACAGCCGCCCACAAUAAAGAUCAUCCGAAACCUAUCAAGAUAUUUGAAGUAGGCAAUGUAACUGUAUUUGAUGAGUUGAAAGAUGUUGGGUCCACAAAUCAUCGCCAACUGGCAGCUCUUUACUGUGGCGCUACUUCUGGGGU
Molecule: long non-coding RNA, 271 nt
Organism: Helianthus annuus (common sunflower)
Lineage: Eukaryota; Viridiplantae; Streptophyta; Magnoliopsida; Asterales; Asteraceae
Exons: 3
Source: RefSeq, a predicted model, not a curated record